This 356-nucleotide transfer-messenger RNA is filed under the name Verrucomicrobiia. RNAcentral's name for it is "UBA9464 sp017309115 Standard tmRNA". It matches the Rfam family "transfer-messenger RNA". Rfam says of the family: Bacterial tmRNA, also known as 10Sa RNA or SsrA, is named for its dual tRNA and mRNA-like properties. Its role is to liberate the mRNA from a stalled ribosome. To accomplish this part of the tmRNA is used as a reading frame that ends in a translation stop signal. Lineage: Bacteria; Pseudomonadati; Verrucomicrobiota. RNAcentral also lists the same sequence under 1 other name. The record is from RNAcentral.
GGGGGCGUACUGGUUUCGACCUGAAAAUCCCGCUACCGACGGCAUGCCGAGGACGAUCCGUUGGCCUCGUUAAACCCCGGGUCAAAACAUUAAUUGCUAACGAAGAGUUGGCUCUCGCGGCCUAAUUAGCCGUGACGUCUGUUCCGGAACACCUGCUACCGGAAACGGACGCCUUUAGCAGGCAUGGCUGACAGCGGAGUUCGCGCGGUGUCGGCCGAGAAACUUCAUGCGAGCUAGGCGGAGUCGAUUGCUGUCGGCCCAUGACGACUCCGCAGAAAACCUUUGGCUGACUAAGCAUGUAGUCGUUGGCAGUAGGCUUAUCAGGGACGCGGGUUCAACUCCCGCCGCCUCCACCA